CACCUGCCGGCGACCGGCGCACGGGUGAGUAACACGUAUGGAACCUGCCCGCCACAGGGGGAUAACCCGGGGAAACCCGGCCUAAUACCCCAUGCCGCCCGGACCGGGCAUCUGGUCCGGGCGAAAGGAGGAAUCCGGUGGCGGCUGGGCAUGCGGCGCAUUAGCUUGACGGCGGGGUAACGGCCCACCGUGGCGACGAUGCGUAGGGGUUCUGAGAGGAAGGCCCCCCACACUGGAACUGAGACACGGUCCAGACUCCUACGGAAGGCAGCAG
Molecule: ribosomal RNA, 274 nt
Filed under: uncultured bacterium
Lineage: Bacteria
Description: partial 16S ribosomal RNA
Rfam family: Bacterial small subunit ribosomal RNA
Source: RNAcentral